CCUACGGGAGGCAGCAGUGAGGAAUAUUGGUCAAUGGACGAGAGUCUGAACCAGCCAAGUAGCGUGAAGGAUGACUGCCCUAUGGGUUGUAAACUUCUUUUAUAUGGGAAUAAAAUGUUCCACGUGUGGGAUUUUGUAUGUACCAUAUGAAUAAGGAUCGGCUAACUCCGUGCCAGCAGCCGCGGUAAUACGGAGGAUCCGAGCGUUAUCCGGAUUUAUUGGGUUUAAAGGGAGCGUAGGUGGAUUUUUAAGUCAGUUGUGAAAGUUUGCGGGAGAACCGUAAAAUUGCAGUUGAAACUGGAGGUAGGGAGAAUAGGAGAGGGAGGGGAAUGGGGUGGUG
RNAcentral lists this ribosomal RNA (340 nucleotides) under uncultured bacterium. Its description in RNAcentral is "partial 16S ribosomal RNA". It matches the Rfam family "Bacterial small subunit ribosomal RNA", at positions 338 to 675 of the family's 1533-position model. The record is from RNAcentral.